UCAAGGUCCCCGUGCGGCGACACCUCGCCCAACUCCCCAGGGUCGAGAGACAGCAAGGGUAAGUGAGCUCUGUCGGGUGCGCGGGGGCCCCUUCAU
This 96-nucleotide signal recognition particle RNA is filed under the name Micropruina sp. RNAcentral describes it as "Bacterial small signal recognition particle RNA". It matches the Rfam family "Bacterial small signal recognition particle RNA". From Rfam's summary of the family: The signal recognition particle (SRP) is a universally conserved ribonucleoprotein involved in the co-translational targeting of proteins to membranes. Archaeal SRP consists of a 7S RNA and homologues of the eukaryotic SRP19 and SRP54 proteins. Lineage: Bacteria; Bacillati; Actinomycetota; Actinomycetes; Propionibacteriales; Nocardioidaceae. The record is from Rfam by way of RNAcentral.